UGGGGAAUAUUGGACAAUGGGGGCAACCCUGAUCCAGCAAUGCCGCGUGUGUGAAGAAGGUCUUCGGAUUGUAAAGCACUUUCGACGGGGACGAUGAUGACGGUACCCGUAGAAGAAGCCCCGGCUAACUUCGUGCCAGCAGCCGCGGUAAUACGAAGGGGGCUAGCGUUGCUCGGAAUGACUGGGCGUAAAGGGCGUGUAGGCGGUUUACACAGUCAGAUGUGAAAUCCCCGGGCUUAACCUGGGAGCUGCAUUUGAUACGUGUAGACUAGAGUGUGAGAGAGGGUUGUGGAAUUCCCAGUGUAGAGGUGAAAUUCGUAGAUAUUGGGAAGAACACCGGUGGCGAAGGCGGCAACCUGGCUCAUGACUGACGCUGAGCGCGAAAGCGUGGGGAGCAAACAGGUUAGAUACCCUGGUAGUCCACGCCUGUAAACGAUGUGUGCUAGAUGUUGGGUAACUUU
RNAcentral lists this ribosomal RNA (461 nucleotides) under uncultured bacterium. RNAcentral describes it as "partial 16S ribosomal RNA". It matches the Rfam family "Bacterial small subunit ribosomal RNA", at positions 355 to 834 of the family's 1533-position model. The record is from RNAcentral.